This 484-nucleotide ribosomal RNA is filed under the name uncultured bacterium. Its description in RNAcentral is "partial 16S ribosomal RNA". It matches the Rfam family "Bacterial small subunit ribosomal RNA", at positions 30 to 507 of the family's 1533-position model. The record is from RNAcentral.
UUGAACGCUGGCGGCAUGCCUUACACAUGCAAGUCGAACGGCAGCACGGGUGCUUGCACCUGGUGGCGAGUGGCGAACGGGUGAGUAAUACAUCGGAACAUGUCCUGUAGUGGGGAUAGCCCGGCGAAAGCCGGAUUAAUACCGCAUACGAUCCACGGAUGAAAGCGGGGGACCUUCGGGCCUCGCGCUAUAGGGUUGGCCGAUGGCUGAUUAGCUAGUUGGUGGGGUAAGGGCCUACCAAGGCGACGAUCAGUAGCUGGUCUGAGAGGACGACCAGCCACACUGGGACUGAGACACGGCCCAGACUCCUACGGGAGGCAGCAGUGGGGAAUUUUGGACAAUGGGCGAAAGCCUGAUCCAGCAAUGCCGCGUGUGUGAAGAAGGCCUUCGGGUUGUAAAGCACUUUUGUCCGGAAAGAAAUCCUUGACUCUAAUACAGUCGGGGGAUGACGGUACCGGAAGAAUAAGCACCGGCUAACUACGUG